UUAGGUGCCUAUAUCGGUGGUGUCCACCUCUUCCCAUUCCGAACAGAGAAGUUAAGCCCACCAGAGCCGAUGGUACUGCGGUAACACGUGGGAGAGUAGGUCG
This 103-nucleotide ribosomal RNA is filed under the name Pedobacter cryoconitis. The record is from RNAcentral. Lineage: Bacteria; Pseudomonadati; Bacteroidota; Sphingobacteriia; Sphingobacteriales; Sphingobacteriaceae. RNAcentral also lists the same sequence under 1 other name.